Molecule: long non-coding RNA, 288 nt
Filed under: Elaeis guineensis (African oil palm)
Lineage: Eukaryota; Viridiplantae; Streptophyta; Magnoliopsida; Arecales; Arecaceae
Description: long non-coding RNA (EGUI_LNC014040)
Source: RNAcentral
GCCAGUAUUCCUUAGAAGAUGAAGAAUCUGAAGGCCAUGGGAAUCAGUUGAAGUAGUUCUCCAAGCUCUUCGAACCACCUCCUUGAUGCUCUCCUAAGCAAACCAAUAGUUAUAGAACCUGAAUUGGGGUCUCAUAGGAUGAUCGUUGAAUGAUCGAAUCUGCAAUAAAAGAGGGCAAUAAUCUAAGCCAAUUCUUGAGAGGUGAAUAACUUUGGAUUCAGAAAAUAUUCUCAACCAAUUAUCAGUUACCAAAGCUCUGUCUAAAUAUUCCCAUACUCUAGCAUGCCC